Molecule: ribosomal RNA, 375 nt
Filed under: uncultured bacterium
Lineage: Bacteria
Description: bacterial SSU rRNA
Rfam family: Bacterial small subunit ribosomal RNA
Source: RNAcentral
CACGGAGGGUGCAAGCGUUACUCGGAAUCACUGGGCGUAAAGAGCGUGUAGGCGGGUAUAUAAGUCAGAAGUGAAAUCCAAUAGCUUAACUAUUGAACUGCUUUUGAAACUGUAUACCUAGAAUGUGGGAGAGGUAGAUGGAAUUUCUGGUGUAGGGGUAAAAUCCGCAGAGAUCAGAAGGAAUACCGAUUGCGAAGGCGAUCUACUGGAACAUUAUUGACGCUGAGACGCGAAAGCGUGGGGAGCAAACAGGAUUAGAUACCCUGGUAGUCCACGCCCUAAACGAUGUACACUAGUUGUUGUGAGGCUCGACCUUGCAGUAAUGCAGUUAACACAUUAAGUGUACCGCCUGGGGAGUACGGUCGCAAGAUUAAA